AUCAUAGUGCCAGGGGCGUAGAGCCGUAGCAGGCACACCUGGACUCACAUAGGCUAUCAUGACAUACAAGGGCUAAUGGAUCAUUCAACAUUCAUCCACAUCAACAACAAAGUAUGCAAUGCAACAUAUUCGUGAAUUCUAAUGCAAACAACCUAACAUAUCUCAUGGCAUUCAUGAUGCGUGAAUCAUGCUAAAACAUUUCAUUAAUUUGCUUUAAAACUUAAAGUUUAUUCCACUCACCUCUGGCUAGCUCUGAAGAGACUCUGAAGCAGCUGGCUCACUGCUGGGGGUCUCGGUUCCUCGGGUCCGAACCUACACAGGUGGACUCAAAUGAGGGACCAAACAUACAUGAACAUGACUCUAAAAUACUCCCCAAAAACCCCCUAAAACAUCCUGAAAACAU
Molecule: long non-coding RNA, 403 nt
Filed under: Manihot esculenta (cassava)
Lineage: Eukaryota; Viridiplantae; Streptophyta; Magnoliopsida; Malpighiales; Euphorbiaceae
Description: long non-coding RNA (MESC_LNC007139)
Source: RNAcentral